RNAcentral lists this ribosomal RNA (1501 nucleotides) under Leocarpus fragilis. Its description in RNAcentral is "partial small subunit ribosomal RNA". It matches the Rfam family "Eukaryotic small subunit ribosomal RNA", at positions 928 to 1652 of the family's 1831-position model. The record is from RNAcentral. Lineage: Eukaryota; Evosea; Eumycetozoa; Physariida; Physaraceae.
UAGCAAGUCGACCAAAGGCGAAAGCAGUCAUCAAGGGCACGCCCGUUGAUCAAGAGCGAAAGUUAAGGGUUCGAAGACGAUCAGAUACCGUCGUAGUCUCAACUAUAAAUGAUACAAACCAGGGAUAGGACACUGUCCAUCUCGACUCCUCCUGCACCUUAGAGAAAUCAGAGUCUUUGGGUUCUGGGGGGAGUAUGGUCGCAAGGCUGAAACUUAAAGGAAUUGACGGAAGGGCACACAAAGAGUGGAACCUGCGGCUUAAUUGCUAGGCCGCGAUAGUCGGCAUGGGCUUGGUCCCCCAUGUAAGCCGGCUAGUCGACUUCUCAUAACAGGGUUGAGUGGGAAGCGGCGAGACAACCUGGUACGAGGGAACUCUGGGCUGGGCUACGGCUGCCCUCUAGACAAUCUCGUGGCGAGCUAUCGGUGGGCAACUGCUGAAUGGCCGUCGUAACGCGCGGUAAGGUGUCGGGCGCUCUCAUUCGUGAGGCGUCUUAAGGAACGUGCUACUCCCACCCGCGAGGGUGUCUUGCGCUGGAGCUCUCAACCAGUAAAGGCGCAGGAGGCUAGAUGCCCAUCGGAAAUGGUGGGUGGAGGCCGGUACAAAAGGUAAUUUGACUCAACACGGGAAAACUCACCAGGUCCGGAUACACGUAUGAAAGUCAAGCUGAAAGACUUUACUCAAUGAUGUAAGUGGUGGUGCAUGGUCGUAAACUACUUGCGACAGUGCCUGUAAAAGCAGGUGCUAGUGGGCCUCUGGGCGCUUUUGCGAGCCCUUGGGUUCUGCGACACUAUCAAAUUGCGGGGAAAUCCAGGGUGGGCAGCGGUACCGCCCUAGCACCGAAAGGUCUGGCUAGUGGCACCACAGGGAAACUUGUGGGUAUGGUAAGAACCCGUUGUCUUGGACUAUCCGCAGCCAAGCUCUAACCCCUCCUCGAUAAGACCACUCGGCUCAAAAAUGGGGGCUGGGCGGCUACAGGGGGAUACGAGUGCAGUUCAACGACUAAAUGGUAGUGGGCGGGUCACUCCGCUUAAGAUAUAGUCUUGCCCCACCGGAAGGUGGUCCUGGGAUAAAAGGGACGAGCAAUCCCCAGAGCCUAGGAGGGUAUUUGGAUACAUGCCCGGAUUUCCAGUCGUAGUUCGUGGAUUGAUUUGUCUGGUCUAUUCCGAUAACGAGCGAGACCCCAACGUUCCUAAUAGGGGCUUCAGCCCGGCUGGUCGCAAGAUUGGUUAGCUGUUGCUUAGGUUAUUGCUUCUUAGACGUAUCAGAGCCGAUAAGGUUCUUGAAAUGGGUUAAUAACAGGUCAGUCAUGCCCUUAGAUGUUCUGGGCCGCACGCGCGUUACAAUGGCAUGAAAAGAAAGUGCUUCAAAAGGCGAUUCCGGGGCCGAAAGGUCCUGGUAACCCUUAAUCCCUGCCUUGACUGGGAUAGAUCUUUGCAAUUAUUGGUCUCUAACGAGGAAUUUUUAGUAAUCGUAGGUCAUUAACCUGCGAUGAAUGCGUCC